ACAGGGAUUGCCCUAGUAACGGCGAGUGAAGCGGCAACAGCUCAAAUUUGAAAUCUGGCUUUCGGGUCCGAAUUGUAAUUUGCAGAGGAUGCUUUUGGCGAGGUGCCUUCCGAGUUCCCUGGAACGGGACGCCUUAGAGGGUGAGAGCCCCGUACGGUUGGACACUAAGCCUCUGUAAAGCUCCUUCGACGAGUCGAGUAGUUUGGGAAUGCUGCUCUAAAUGGGAGGUAAAUUUCUUCUAAAGCUAAAUACCGGCCAGAGACCGAUAGCGCACAAGUAGAGUGAUCGAAAGAUGAAAAGCACUUUGAAAAGAGGGUUAAAUAGCACGUGAAAUUGUUGAAAGGGAAGCGUUUACGGCCAGACCUUUUCCUAGCGGAUCAUCUGGUGUUCUCACCGGUGCACUUCGCUAGGUUUAGGCCAGCAUCGGCUUCUGUAGAGGGAUAAAAGCAGUGGGAAAGUAGCUCUCUCGGGAGUGUUAUAGCCCUAAGCAUAAUACCUUUACGGGGGCCGAGGACCGCGCUUUUGCAAGGAUGCUGGCGUAAUGGUCGUCAACGACCCGUCUUGAAACACGGACCAAGGAGUCGAACAUUUGUGCGAGUGUUUGGGUGUUAAACCCUCACGCGUAAUGAAAGUGAACGGAGGUGAGAGCCCUUUACGGGGUGCAUCAUCGACCGAUCCUGAUGUCUUCGGAUGGAUUUGAGUAGGAGCAUUAAUGUUCGGACCCGAAAGAUGGUGAACUAUGCGUGGAUAGGGUGAAGCCAGAGGAAACUCUGGUGGAGGCUCGCAGCGGUUCUGACGUGCAAAUCGAUCGUCAAAUCUGCGCAUGGGGGCGAAAGACUAUCGACCAUCCUACUUCGU
RNAcentral lists this ribosomal RNA (858 nucleotides) under Biscogniauxia petrensis. Its description in RNAcentral is "partial large subunit ribosomal RNA". It matches the Rfam family "Eukaryotic large subunit ribosomal RNA", at positions 68 to 955 of the family's 3401-position model. Lineage: Eukaryota; Fungi; Ascomycota; Sordariomycetes; Xylariales; Xylariaceae. The record is from RNAcentral.